ACCCCCACAAAACUUCUCCUUCCUUCUUCCGAGGCUCUUCUCCUCCUCGCCUCCCGGCGACACCGGCGGCGCGUCCUCCGAAGUUACCCCGAGGAGGAAACUAGGAAGAGCUUGGAAUAGUGCAUUGAACCGCCCGCGGGUCAAAUGGAAAUGA
Molecule: long non-coding RNA, 154 nt
Filed under: Anas platyrhynchos platyrhynchos (common mallard)
Lineage: Eukaryota; Metazoa; Chordata; Aves; Anseriformes; Anatidae
Description: lncRNA (ENSAPLG00000018637.1)
Source: RNAcentral